GAUGAACGCUGGCGGCGUGCCUAAUACAUGCAAGUCGAGCGAACAGACGAGGAGCUUGCUCCUCUGACGUUAGCGGCGGACGGGUGAGUAACACGUGGAUAACCUACCUAUAAGACUGGGAUAACUUUGGGAAACCGGAGCUAACACCGGAUAAUAUAUUGAACCGCAUGGUUCAAUAGUGAAUGACGGUUUUGCUGUCACUUAUAGAUGGAUCCGCGCCGCAUUAGCUAGUUGGUGAGGUAACGGCUUACCAAGGCAACGAUGCGUAGCCGACCUGAGAGGGUGAUCAACCACACGGGAACUGAGAAUGGGGCCGGUCUCCUAAGGGGGGUAGACACACGGAAUCUUCCGCAAUAGGGGUAAGACUGACUGUACAACGCCCCGUAAGUGAUGAGGGUCUUCGUAUCUGAAAUCUCUGUUAUUGGGGUAGAACAAAUGUGUAAGAAACUAUACACGUCUUGACGGUACCUAAACAGGUAGCCUCGGCUGACUACGUA
RNAcentral lists this ribosomal RNA (497 nucleotides) under uncultured bacterium. Its description in RNAcentral is "partial 16S ribosomal RNA". It matches the Rfam family "Bacterial small subunit ribosomal RNA", at positions 28 to 507 of the family's 1533-position model. The record is from RNAcentral.